GCACCCGUAGCUCAAUCGGAUAGAGCAUCGGACUUCGGAUCCGAGGGUUGUAGGUUCGAAUCCUACCGGGUGUACCA
RNAcentral lists this transfer RNA (77 nucleotides) under Verrucomicrobiota bacterium. RNAcentral's name for it is "Verrucomicrobia bacterium (fermentation metagenome) tRNA-Arg". It matches the Rfam family "tRNA". Rfam says of the family: Transfer RNA (tRNA) molecules are approximately 80 nucleotides in length. Their secondary structure includes four short double-helical elements and three loops (D, anti-codon, and T loops). Lineage: Bacteria; Pseudomonadati; Verrucomicrobiota. The record is from RNAcentral.